This 294-nucleotide ribosomal RNA is filed under the name uncultured bacterium. RNAcentral's name for it is "partial 16S ribosomal RNA". It matches the Rfam family "Bacterial small subunit ribosomal RNA", at positions 775 to 1067 of the family's 1533-position model. The record is from RNAcentral.
GGAUUAGAUACCCUGGUAGUCCACGCCCUAAACGAUGUCAACUAGCCGUUGGGUUCAUUUAAGGACUUAGUGGCGCAGCUAACGCGUUAAGUUGACCGCCUGGGGAGUACGGCCGCAAGGUUAAAACUCAAAGGAAUUGACGGGGGCCCGCACAAGCGGUGGAGCAUGUGGUUUAAUUCGAUGCAACGCGAAGAACCUUACCAGGCCUUGACAUCCUCGGAACUUUCUAGAGAUAGAUUGGUGCCCUCGGGAACCGAGUGACAGGUGCUGCAUGGCUGUCGUCAGCUCGUGCCG